AAAAACCAGGGACACUGAAAACACAGACUCAACUUAUUUUAAGUUUAUAGUAAGAAACUGACGGGCCUUCAGGGCCUUUAAAGAUACUGAGCUAAUGCCUAGUAUGUAUAGGUUUAUAACAGAAAUCUCAACUAAUGAACACUUUUAUUUCAAACUUUUAAACAAACAAAAUAAUAAUCAUUCAAAUAUAUCUACAGUAGCUUUAAGAAAUGAAUGGUAAUCAUUUUGCUUGCAUUUGUGAUUAUUGACAUGUUGACCCAUUAAGUCUAAUUUCUAUAAAUAAUUUAUGUCAGUGUGUUCCUGGUGUUUCAGACCCAGACAGGUCACAGAUUGACUGGUCAUCUGAGCCGUCAUACUUCAUCAGCAAAUUCGUUGACUACAUGUUGGGUGACAAUUUGGUCAAAUCCAGGGCUAUGUAUUACUCUUCAACCACUUUUAACACUGAAUAAAAGCAUCAUGAUCACACAGACAUGGAUCUAUGACUAUACUGAUGAACACAGGAACACACUGGGUUACAUAACAUCUUCUUUUCUCGCAGCAGGAAGGAAAGUCUGAGGUGGAAGUAGAGAGCAGCAACAGGAGCAGCAGUAACAGUACUGACAACCCACAUUGUGUUUACUCUGAAAACUGAGGCUUAGGUGGUCCACCUGUUGGAACAAACCUCUCUCCCUGACUUGUCUGAAAGGCUCUAUGAUGAUCAGGUCCAUCCAAAGGCUCCGCAAAUGCAUCAGAAUAUGGAUUCUCCAGAACUUUGAGGAGCGCGUUGACCUACAGGACAAGCUCCUUUAGCCGUCCCAUCAGUUCCAGUUGCUGGGACACAGCUGGCCUGUCGGCCACCAUCCCAAACAUGACUGGGUUAGUUUGUGCCAUGGACAGAAUCAUCGCCAAUUCACUAGAAAUGAGGAAAUGCUAGAGGUAAGUGAUGUUGACCACCGAUAUAGCUCUAGUCCUACAUUAUGUUCCAUGUUCACCUGCUACAGUCUCAACAAAAAUCCUUCCAAAUGCUACAAAACACACCUUUAACUUACAUAUUGUCUUGGUAAGCUUUUUCCCCAAAAUGCUAGCAUAUAAAAGGAAAAACAAAUUAGAGGACAAGAGAGAUUUAGACAUUUUAACCAGUGCUUUGCUCAGCUAGCAUUACAUGCACAUUCAUUGGGAGUAUAUGGUGGGGCAGCUAGAUACUUUAAAUUCCUGCUAUACAGCAGCUGCUCUGUAAAGAAACUUUUGUAUCCAACCACCAUACACUCCCUCACCGGUUCUCCAUAGUUGGCUUAUUAGCCACCUUUAGCUCCUCAAUAGAGGCACACUGCUCUAGGAUGAGGUCUACUACUGGCUCCACUGUGGCCCUCCCACUGUGGCCCUCGUCAGGCCAGGGGACACGGCUCAGCAGGCGGAAGGUGUUGGUGAAAUCUGCACCUAGAAACACAUUUUGUUAUAGUCCCAUGCCCAGAAUGUAAAAGCGUAACUGACACAUUUUCAUAGAUUUCUAUUUUCAGAGAUGUCUAACACAUAACUGAAAUGUCAACGGUACCAUUUAAUGAGAUAUUUGAUGAACAUUAAAGUAUUUAAACCUGUUGUAGCAGAAACCCAAAAUAUAGAAGUAUGAACGUGAACAUGAGCGUAAUAUGGGACCUUUAAGUUGUCUGUCUUUAUACCAGUGUUGUGCAUAAGGCGCAGUAGGUCUGAUAUGAGUUCGCUGUCCUCCGGCUCUUCUUUUCCCACAAGGCCUAGCUUUUUCCUCAUGAUACACAGGUAGAAGGCUUCGUAUGUGGGCAUGAAUUGAUCCAGGACAGCCCCGGCCUCGGCUGCAUCCAGCUCAGAGCCCAACGCCUCGGCCAGACAGGCCAGGUUCCAGCGGCACAUAGAUGGCUGGGCUUGGUACGAGUAGCGCCCUCUUUUGUCGGAGUUGUUGCAAACGAAAUCUGGAUCAAACCUGACACACGGGUGGGGAGUUUCAUACAGAAUAGGAUUUGAGUUAAUAUAUAAAUACUUAUCUUCUUUUUACUUACUGUAUGUCAAACUGAUUUUUACUUUUAGAAGAGGUUUUUCAGAUUCAAGGAAAGUGUAAAAGCUAAGAACACACUUGUCAAAUAAGUGUACUGCCACUUUCAGCAGCUUACCUGUCCAUGAAACCAAAGGGUCCAUAGUCCAGAGUAAGACCCAAGAUGCUCAUGUUGUCUGUGUUAAGGACGCCAUGGCAAAAACCGACACACUGCCACUGGGCCACUAGCUUAGCGGUUUGCAUCAUCACCUGGUGAUGGUUAAUAUGGAAAAGCACCAGCAUGAAAUGAACCAACCUACAGGGGAGACAUUAUUAGCACAUUGUAUUAACACCCUAGUCCUCACCUCUUUGAAAAAAGCCAUAUUCCUGUCUUUCCGGUUGCUAGUAGUCUGUUGGAUAUAAGGAUAAAAAGUCUCAAUGACAUAAUCCAGCAGCUGAGCGCGAAUGUCAUGCCGUCCUGCACUGGGACCCUGCAGGCCCGAGAAAUCAUCUCGGCCCAGAAAGAUCUCAAAAGAUCCAAAUCUAAAACCGAGAGAGGGACAUAAUAAAACAUCCAUAUGUAUCCACAGGUGGCCAACUGUCUGAAAACACUAGAAAUGUGUCCUACCUGAUGAAGGACGGGGCGAGACGCAGGACGACUGAGCAGCGCUCGGGAAUGCGCCUGCCGCUGUUGAGUGGAUCUCUGGUGACGUACAGGUCGGAGGUGACUAGCGAGGCUGCACGGGUGCUGGGUAUCCCCAGGGCGGCCAUGGCCUCGCUGCACAGGAACUCUCUGAUGCUGGAGCGAAGCACCUUCCUGCCAUCACCAUCUCUGACAAAAUGGGUUUGUAUGUUAUUCAGAGGUGAUUCACCAGUGAGUUAAAUAUGUUGUGUCAUUUGGGUUAAUUAAUUCAAUUAUUCCAUGAAAACGUAAUGCUAUUAUAUUACACCAGUAGUUGAACUUGCAAACUCAAAAGUUCUGGUAAAGUUCCAAAACAAGAGCUUUUUAAUGUCAAACUACUACUACUUAGUACCUGAAUUGGACUAAAAAAGGUACCAGUACACUAAUUCAGCAGUUCCAUGAACUGAUGGCCUGUCUAGCUUUGG
This is a long non-coding RNA of Perca flavescens (yellow perch), 3088 nucleotides long. RefSeq lists it as uncharacterized. The record is from RefSeq and is a predicted model, not a curated record. The transcript is spliced from 3 exons. Lineage: Eukaryota; Metazoa; Chordata; Actinopteri; Perciformes; Percidae.